Molecule: microRNA precursor, 201 nt
Filed under: Lotus japonicus
Lineage: Eukaryota; Viridiplantae; Streptophyta; Magnoliopsida; Fabales; Fabaceae
Description: miR11116 stem-loop (lja-MIR11116)
Source: miRBase by way of RNAcentral
UGAAGAGCAUUGAUGUGUACACCCUCCGGUUACAUAUAUAAGGAAAAAACACUUUUUAGGUUCAUUCAUUUAAUGAAUGUAUCUAGUUGUUUUAAUGACUAGAUACAUUCAACUAGAUACAUUCAUUAAAUGAAAGAACCUAAAAAAUGUUUUUUGCUUAUAUAUGUGACCGGAGGGUGUAUGCCAUAUUUUACUCUGCCA